UACAGAGGUCCCAAGCGUUGUUCGGAUUCACUGGGCGUAAAGGGUGCGUAGGUGGUGAGGUAAGUCGGAUGUGAAAGCUCCGAGCUCAACUCGGAAAUGGCAUUGGAAACUACCUUGCUCGAGGGUUUGAGGGGGGACUGGAAUACUUGGUGUAGCAGUGAAAUGCGUAGAUAUCGUAAGGAAGACCAGUGGCGAAGGCGGGUCUCUGGACAGUUCCUGACGCUGAGGCACGAAGGUCAGGGGAGCAAACGGG
RNAcentral lists this ribosomal RNA (253 nucleotides) under uncultured bacterium. RNAcentral describes it as "partial 16S ribosomal RNA". It matches the Rfam family "Bacterial small subunit ribosomal RNA", at positions 524 to 776 of the family's 1533-position model. The record is from RNAcentral.